RNAcentral lists this unclassified non-coding RNA (390 nucleotides) under Debia oligocephala. RNAcentral describes it as "partial external transcribed spacer". Lineage: Eukaryota; Viridiplantae; Streptophyta; Magnoliopsida; Gentianales; Rubiaceae. The record is from RNAcentral.
AGCAUUCCUCGUGACAUCGGACCGCACGGAACGAGACCGGAACGGAACCGAACGUCGUUCGAAAUUAGCGUUUUAAGCUUCUUGCGGACAUAUAGGAGUCUUAGACCCCGUGUCCUUCGCGCAUUCCGAAUCCCUAUGCCCGAACCAACACUCAUUGGCCACGGCAAUAAAGCGGUAAGCAUUAGCCGGGGACAACGAGUGUCAUUGCAUGUUUCACCCUCGGCCGCACCAGAAACGGGCAGCCUUAGGCGAACGGUGAAAGAUUGCCAACCGAAUUCCAUUAGCUAGGUAUGAAACACAGGAAACCGAACGAACGGCCAAUAAAAAUUGUGCCGAGAAAUGAAGAGGAAAGCACGGUAGAACGUCGCCGCACAAGGCCGGGAUCCAACC